RNAcentral lists this ribosomal RNA (254 nucleotides) under uncultured bacterium. Its description in RNAcentral is "partial 16S ribosomal RNA". It matches the Rfam family "Bacterial small subunit ribosomal RNA", at positions 524 to 776 of the family's 1533-position model. The record is from RNAcentral.
UACGUAGGGUGCGAGCGUUGUCCGGAAUUAUUGGGCGUAAAGAGCUCGUAGGCGGUCUGUCGCGUCGAUCGUGAAAACUUGGAGCUUAACCCUGAGCUUGCGGUCGAUACGGGCAUGACUGGAGUUCGGCAGGGGAGACUGGAAUUCCUGGUGUAGCGGUGAAAUGCGCAGAUAUCAGGAGGAACACCGGUGGCGAAGGCGGGUCUCUGGGCAGUAACUGACGCUGAGGAGCGAAAGCGUGGGGAGCGAACAGG